Molecule: ribosomal RNA, 677 nt
Filed under: Trachinotus ovatus (derbio)
Lineage: Eukaryota; Metazoa; Chordata; Actinopteri; Carangiformes; Carangidae
Description: partial 16S ribosomal RNA
Rfam family: Bacterial large subunit ribosomal RNA
Source: RNAcentral
ACCUUUUGCAUCAUGAUUUAGCCAGCAUCCUUUAAGCAAAGAGACCUUUAGUUUAAAACCCCGAAACUGAGUGAGCUACUCCAAGACAGCCUAAAAUAUAGGGCGAACCCGUCUCUGUGGCAAAAGAGUGGGACGAGCUUCGAGUAGAGGUGACAGACCUAUCGAACUCAGUUAUAGCUGGUUGCCUGUGAAUUGGAUAGAAGUUCAGCCUCCCGGCUUCUCCCUAAACCGUGAGAGUUAGUCAAAGGAGGAACAGCUCCUUUGAACAAAGAUACAACUUUACCAGGAGGGUAAAGAUCAUAAUCUUCAAGGCAAAAUGUUUUAGUGGGCCUAAAAGCAGCCACCAUAAUAGAAAGCGUUAAAGCUCAAACAUAUAUUCUGAUAAUUCAAUCUUAACCCCCUAAUUCUACCAGGCCGCCCCAUGCAAACAUGGGGGCGACUAUGCUAAUAUGAGUAAUAAGAGAGUACUCUCUCCCUGCACACGCAUAAAUCGGAACGGACCAACCACCGAACAUUAACGGCCCCAAACGAAGAGGGUACUGGAUAUUAACUAGAAAUUCAUCCACCGUUAACCCCACACAGGUGUGCUUUUAAGGAAAGACCUAAAGAAAGAGAAGGAACUCGGCAAACAAGCCUCGCCUGUUUACCAAAAACAUCGCCUCUUGCAAGAAUAAGAG